GNCUNGCACAGUGAUCCGGUNCAUCGGUCGCAGGCCUNCUAACCGUGCGAAGGUAGCGUAAUCACUUGUUCUCUAAUUGUGGACUAGUAUGAACGGCACCACGAAGGUUAUACUGUCUCCUUUCUCUAAUCAGUGAAACUAAUCUCCCCGUGAAGAAGCGGGGAUAAAAAUAUAAGACGAGAAGACCCUAUGGAGCUUUAAACAGCAUAGCAAUUGUUACAUUAACAUAAAACUUUUCUGAAUAAUUAAAAUUUUAUUAGACAAUUUGACUAUGAGUUUNUGGUUGGGGUGACCGCGGAGCAUAACACAACCUCCAUGCUGAAAGAACCUUCUUCUWAGCUAAGAACUACCCAUCUAAUCAUCAANACAUUGNNAUNCAUUGAUCCAAUANACUUGNUCAUCGAACCAAGNUACCCUAGGGAUNACAGCGCAAUCCACUCCGAGAGCUCCUAUCGNCAUAGNGGGUUNGCGACCUNGAUGUUCCANCUGGGUAUCNCAAGUGAUACAUGNGCUGAGCUCAAGNUCGAUCCUG
RNAcentral lists this ribosomal RNA (532 nucleotides) under Vandijkophrynus gariepensis (Karroo toad). RNAcentral describes it as "partial 16S ribosomal RNA". It matches the Rfam family "Bacterial large subunit ribosomal RNA", at positions 1904 to 2608 of the family's 2925-position model. The record is from RNAcentral. Lineage: Eukaryota; Metazoa; Chordata; Amphibia; Anura; Bufonidae.